Molecule: ribosomal RNA, 203 nt
Filed under: uncultured bacterium
Lineage: Bacteria
Description: partial 16S ribosomal RNA
Rfam family: Bacterial small subunit ribosomal RNA
Source: RNAcentral
AGUUCGGAUUGGAGUCUGCAACCCGACUCCAUGAAGCUGGAUUCGCUAGUAAUCGCGCAUCAGCCACGGCGCGGUGAAUACGUUCCCGGGCCUUGUACACACCGCCCGUCAAGCCAUGGAAGCCGGGAGUGCCUGAAGUACGCGACCGCAAGGAGCGUCCUAAGGUAAAACCGGUGACUGGGGCUAAGUCGUAACAAGGUAGC